AUUAAACGCUGGCGGCAUGCCUUACACAUGCAAGUCGAACGGCAGCACGGGGGCAACCCUGGUGGCGAGUGGCGGACGGGUGAGUAAAGCAUCGGAACGUAUCCUGGAGUGGGGGAUAACGUAGCGAAAGUUACGCUAAUACCGCAUAUUCUGUGAGCAGGAAAGCAGGGGAUCGCAAGACCUUGCGCUCUGGGAGCGGCCGAUGUCGGAUUAGCUAGUUGGUGGGUAAAGGCCUACCAAGGCGACGAUCCGUAGCGGGUCUGAGAGGAUGAUCCGCCACACUGGGACUGAGACACGGCCCAGACUCCUACGGGAGGCAGCAGUGGGGAAUUUUGGACAAUGGGCGAAAGCCUGAUCCAGCCAUGCCGCGUGAGUGAAGAA
This 381-nucleotide ribosomal RNA is filed under the name uncultured bacterium. Its description in RNAcentral is "bacterial SSU rRNA". It matches the Rfam family "Bacterial small subunit ribosomal RNA", at positions 29 to 412 of the family's 1533-position model. The record is from RNAcentral.